UCGUUGCUACCGAUUGGGUGACGGACAGAGUUCGUUGGACUGCGUUCUCACGAAUGCAGGAAGGCGAGCAAUGUUUAUCAUCUAGAGGAAGCAA
This 94-nucleotide ribosomal RNA is filed under the name uncultured eukaryote. RNAcentral's name for it is "partial small subunit ribosomal RNA". The record is from RNAcentral.